Molecule: ribosomal RNA, 433 nt
Filed under: uncultured bacterium
Lineage: Bacteria
Description: partial 16S ribosomal RNA
Rfam family: Bacterial small subunit ribosomal RNA
Source: RNAcentral
AACGAACGCUGGCGGCAUGCCUAACACAUGCAAGUCGAACGAGACCUUCGGGUCUAGUGGCGCACGGGUGCGUAACGCGUGGGAAACUGCCCUUAGGUUCGGAAUAACUCCCCGAAAGGGGUGCUAAUACCGGAUAAUGUCUUCGGACCAAAGAUUUAUCGCCUUUGGAUGGGCCCGCGUUGGAUUAGCUAGUUGGUAGGGGAAAAGCCUACCAAGGCGACGAUCCAUAGCUGGUCUGAGAGGAUGAUCAGCCAAACUGGGACUGAGACGCGGCCCAGACUCCUACGGGAGGCAGCAGUGGGGAAUAUUGGACAAUGGGCGAAAGCCUGAUCCAGCAAUGCCGCGUGAGUGAUGAAGGCCUUAGGGUUGUAAAGCUCUUUUACCCGGGAUGAUAAUGACAGUACCGGGAGAAUAAGCUCCGGCUAACUCCGUG